UACGUAGGGGGCAAGCGUUGUCCGGAAUCAUUGGGCGUAAAGAGCGUGUAGGCGGCUCGAUAAGUCUGCUGUGAAAGUCCAGGGCUCAACCCUGGGAUGCCGGUGGAUACUGUCGAGCUCGAGUCCGGAAGAGGCGAGUGGAAUUCCUGGUGUAGCGGUGAAAUGCGCAGAUAUCAGGAGGAACACCAAUGGCGAAGGCAGCUCGCUGGGACGUGACUGACGCUGAGACGCGAAAGCGUGGGGAGCGAACAGG
RNAcentral lists this ribosomal RNA (253 nucleotides) under uncultured bacterium. Its description in RNAcentral is "partial 16S ribosomal RNA". It matches the Rfam family "Bacterial small subunit ribosomal RNA", at positions 524 to 776 of the family's 1533-position model. The record is from RNAcentral.